UACAUUUGGAGUGCUUAGAAUGGAAUGGGGCCUGGCACAUAAAUGUGUGAAAUGGCUCUGCGCCACAUGGAGAAAGAGCAAAAUGUCACUUUCGAGGUUUGUGACAAAAUUUCGUGAUAGAUUCUUCGGGUGGAGUGAGAGGCCUUUCUCACUGCUGUGACACUGCUGCUGAGGUGGAAAAGCUGAAGAACAGAUUAUUCAGUUUCUACACGGAGCCCUGCUCGACAUGAUGCUAAAACAUGGUGUUUUUUGGACCCAGGUUUUCACUGAUAACAAAGAGGAAGGUCAGUAGCAGAUUAAGACCAGGAAGCUGGUUUACAGCCAUCAUAAUCUGCAAAGAGGUCUCUGCCAGGGCAGCAAGCAUCCAUUUCUUUCUUCCAGUACAUCAGACAGUGGGCAGGAAAAGAUGAGCUUUCAAAGGGUCAGUUUUCUUCUACCAUUACAAAGUUUAGUGCCUUAAAAAAAAAAAUCAACAGAACUGGGAAAUCUCACUUUGGGAGACAGCCUGGCCCUUCUUCAUAACCCGUUCCUCCAAGCAAACUUGAUUUGCUUAUUAAAAUAGGCAUGAAGAAGCUCUUCCGUGAAGCUUCCUUUUCCACCUGAUGUGUAUGAAAGGUUUCAAGAACUUGGCUGCACUCCCCCAGCAGGGUCAACUCUUAAGACUGCUUCUGAAUCCUUCGGUUGUGAUGAAUGUGGGACACCUUUCGAGAUGGGGGAGUUCAGAUCUUGCACAGAAAGCUUCUUUGUUCCUCCAAGGACUUUGAAGACAUCGCCCACCCCUACAGUGGUUUGGAAUGUGGAGAGAGGAUUUUGGUUCUCACCAUUGACCAGGAGUUGUUCUUGGCUUUUGGUGGUAAUGUGCAGGAUGUUCUCACACCACAAGUAAUUGUCCGGCCUCAAAUCCCAACGGUCCCUUCACGUAGGAAACGUUCCCCACUCCUCUCCCAGGUCCUGCCUCUGGUUUAGGUUGUAGACUCUGGGAGAGAACGGGUGUGGUGGGCUCUCUUCACUGCCCUGACGGAAGGGCACCUAGAAGAGCGCCUUCCAUGCAGUGAGUGCUCAGUAAACAUUUGUUGAGGAAAUGCCACUUAUAAAGACAGUGAUUGAUUGGUGGACAAUAAGAUACAUAAAAUAAAAACCUACUGACCCAAGUUCAAUUUCCCUGGGCCUUC
Molecule: long non-coding RNA, 1172 nt
Filed under: Equus asinus (donkey)
Lineage: Eukaryota; Metazoa; Chordata; Mammalia; Perissodactyla; Equidae
Description: lncRNA (ENSEASG00005032714.1)
Source: RNAcentral